AGUCUAUACCCAUGUAUUCGGGUUACUUCCAUCUGUUAAAGAAAAAGAUAAAAAGAAAAGCGAAGGGAACUCAGAUUAAGGCUUAUCACAUCUAAGAUAGCUUUACGAAAAAACACGGACACAUCUGAACCGUUAGAUAUGAGCCAAGCAAAUAUUUACUAAUUCUUUUGGAAGGGCUAGGGUUCGGAGGAUUCUCAUGAUGUUCGGUUAGGGUUUUCUCAUAACACGGAGAAGUGAGCUGUGAAUAUUUGUAGCUGGCUAUAUAUCCACCUUUCCUUGAAUGAUUCAAUACGAGAAACGAUUUAUUGCGCGUUUAAUCACAUGUAUCAAAGGUACUUAUGGCACUUAACGACAUCACUUGUUAGCUUCACGCUAUCAUCCAUUCCGCAACACUUAAAACGCCAUGAAACCUGAAAAGUUCAUUUUUAAAUAUUGUCCUCUCCCAUACAGUUAUGAGACCAAAAAUCUUUAAUCAACAAAUGAACUGUGUGUAGUUAGAAUUUUGGUUACAACUUACGGGUUUCCAAAUGCAUUAUGGUCAGCACAUAACAUUAAGUGAAGUAGCCAUUAAAGUCCAAUCUUGCCGCCACACUUACUCUCUGUAUCUAUAGUUUUGAUUCUUAAAAUAUACCAUUCCACUUUAGCCUAACAGUUAGGUGGCUUCUUGUUUA
This is a long non-coding RNA of Cryptomeria japonica (Japanese cedar), 671 nucleotides long. RefSeq lists it as uncharacterized. The transcript has 2 exons. NCBI's taxonomy places the organism in Eukaryota, Viridiplantae, Streptophyta, Pinopsida, Cupressales, Cupressaceae. The record is from RefSeq and is a predicted model, not a curated record.